AGAGUUUGAUCAUGGCUCAGAACGUACGCUGGCGGCACGCCUAACACAUGCAAGUCGAACGAAGUAGCAAUACUUAGUGGCAGACGGGUGAGUAACAUGUGGGUAUCUGCCCUUUGGCUUGGAAUAACACGAGGAAACUUGUGCUAAUACCGGAUAAGUCUUUACGGAGAAAGCUUUAUGCACCAUUGGAUGAGCCCGCACUUGAUUAGUUUGUUGGUAGGGUAAUGGCCUACCAAGACUGUGAUCAAUAGCUGAUUUGAGAGGAUGAUCAGCCACAUUGGGACUGAGACACGGCCCAAACUCCUACGGGAGGCAGCAGUGGGGAAUCUUGCACAAUGGAGGAAACUCUGAUGCAGCGAUGCCGCGUGAGUGAAGAAGGCCCUUGGGUUGUAAAGCUCUUUCGUCGGGGAAGAAAAUGACUGUACCCGAAUAAGAAGGUCCGGCUAACUUCGUGCCAGCCGCCGCGGUAAUAC
This 473-nucleotide ribosomal RNA is filed under the name uncultured bacterium. RNAcentral's name for it is "bacterial SSU rRNA". It matches the Rfam family "Bacterial small subunit ribosomal RNA", at positions 8 to 526 of the family's 1533-position model. The record is from RNAcentral.